Molecule: ribosomal RNA, 497 nt
Filed under: uncultured bacterium
Lineage: Bacteria
Description: partial 16S ribosomal RNA
Rfam family: Bacterial small subunit ribosomal RNA
Source: RNAcentral
GAUGAACGCUGGCGGCGUGCCUAAUACAUGCGAGUCGAGCGAACGGACGAGAAGCUUGCUUCUCUGAUGUUAGCGGCGGACGGGUGAGUAACACGUGGAUAACCUACCUAUAAGACUGGGAUAACUUCGGGAAACCGGAGCUAAUACCGGAUAAUAUUUUGAACCGCAUGGUUCAAAAGUGAAAGACGGUCUUGCUGUCACUUAUAGAUGGAUCCGCGCUGCAUUAGCUAGUUGGUAAGGUAACGGCUUACCAAGGCAACGAUGUAUAGCCGACCUGAGAGGGUGAUCGGCCACACUGGAACUGAGACACGGUCCAGACUCCUACGGGAGGCAGCAGUAGGGAAUCUUCCGCAAUGGGCGAAAGCCUGACGGAGCAACGCCGCGUGAGUGAUGAAGGUCUUCGGAUCGUAAAACUCUGUUAUUAGGGAAGAACAUAUGUGUAAGUAACUGUGCACAUCUUGACGGUACCUAAUCAGAAAGCCACGGCUAACUACGUG